AACAGGAUUAGAUACCCUGGUAGUCCACGCUGUAAACGGUGGGUACUAGGUGUGGGGUCCAUUCCACGGGUUCCGUGCCGUAGCUAACGCUUUAAGUACCCCGCCUGGGGAGUACGGCCGCAAGGCUAAAACUCAAAGGAAUUGACGGGGCCCCGCACAAGCGGCGGAGCAUGCGGAUUAAUUCGAUGCAACGCGAAGAACCUUACCAGGGCUUGACAUCCCGGUGCUACCUCCAGAGAUGGAGGGUUCUCUUCGGAGACACCGGUGACAGGUGGUGCAUGGUUGUCGUCAGCUCGUGUCGUGAGAUGUAGGGUUAAGUCCCGCAACGAGCGCAACCCCUGGCCUUAGUUGCCAGCAUUCAGUCGGGCACUCUAAGGCGACUGCCGGUGACAAACCGGAGGAAGGUGGGGAUGACGUCAAAUCAUCAUGCCCCUUAUGCCCUGGGCUACACACGUGCUACAAUGGGCGGUACAAAGGGUUGCGAACCCGCGAGGGGGAGCUAAUCCCAAAAAGCCGCUCUCAGUUCGGAUUGCAGGCUGCAACUCGCCUGCAUGAAGCCGGAAUCGCUAGUAAUCGCGGAUCAGCAUGCCGCGGUGAAUACGUUCCCGGGCCUUGUACACACCGCCCGUCACACCACGAGAGUCUGUAACACCCGAAGUCGGUGAGGUAACCCGCAAGGGAGCCAGCCGCCGAAGGUGGGACAGAUGAUUGGGGUGAAGUCGUAACAAGGUAACC
This 735-nucleotide ribosomal RNA is filed under the name uncultured bacterium. Its description in RNAcentral is "bacterial SSU rRNA". It matches the Rfam family "Bacterial small subunit ribosomal RNA", at positions 771 to 1501 of the family's 1533-position model. The record is from RNAcentral.